CAUUUCCUUUCUUCGAUUUUUUUUGGCCACAAAACCACUACUCCAUCAAAGCAUUCUGGAUCUGAGACCAUCACUUCUAGCAAAGAUUGAAGGACACAGCCAAACAUUGUGAAACAGUACAAGGCUCUAGUCCUGCAAUGAUGAGAGUUUCGGCCAAUGGUUAGACAACCCAACAGAAGGAUCAAACCUUGAAUUUUAAAAGAAAACUUGUGCAAUAAGAGAACGAGAAGAUGCUUAAGUUGUGGCCUGCUGAGUUCAGCUUCUACAGAGCC
Non-coding RNA from Phalacrocorax carbo (great cormorant), 272 nucleotides. NCBI's taxonomy places the organism in Eukaryota, Metazoa, Chordata, Aves, Suliformes, Phalacrocoracidae. The record is from RefSeq and is a predicted model, not a curated record.